This 253-nucleotide ribosomal RNA is filed under the name uncultured bacterium. RNAcentral's name for it is "partial 16S ribosomal RNA". It matches the Rfam family "Bacterial small subunit ribosomal RNA", at positions 524 to 776 of the family's 1533-position model. The record is from RNAcentral.
UACGUAGGCAGCGAGCGUUGUUCGGAGUUACUGGGCGUAAAGGGUGUGUAGGCGGUUCUUUAAGUUUGGUGUGAAAUCUCCCGGCUCAACCGGGAGGGUGCGCCGAAUACUGAGGGACUAGAGUGCGGGAGAGGAAAGUGGAAUUCCUGGUGUAGCGGUGAAAUGCGUAGAUAUCAGGAGGAACACCGGUGGUGUAGACGGCUUUCUGGACCGUAACUGACGCUGAGACACGAAAGCGUGGGUAGCAAACAGG